RNAcentral lists this ribosomal RNA (425 nucleotides) under uncultured bacterium. Its description in RNAcentral is "bacterial SSU rRNA". It matches the Rfam family "Bacterial small subunit ribosomal RNA", at positions 355 to 771 of the family's 1533-position model. The record is from RNAcentral.
UGGGGAAUAUUGGACAAUGGGCGAAAGCCUGAUCCAGCGACGCCGCGUGAGUGAUGAAGGCCUUCGGGUUGUAAAGCUCUGUUGAGGGAGAAGAAAACAGUUAGAACUAAUAUGUCUAGCUCUUGACGGUAUCCCUUUAGAAAGCACCGGCUAACUCUGUGCCAGCAGCCGCGGUAAUACGGAGGGGGCUAGCGUUGUUCGGAAUUACUGGGCGUAAAGCGCGCGUAGGCGGCUUUGUAAGUUAGAGGUGAAAUCCUGGAGCUCAACUCCAGAACUGCCUUUAAGACUGCAUCGCUAGAAUCGUGGAGAGGUGAGUGGAAUUCCGAGUGUAGAGGUGAAAUUCGUAGAUAUUCGGAAGAACACCAGUGGCGAAGGCGACUCACUGGACACGUAUUGACGCUGAGGUGCGAAAGCGUGGGGAGCAA